This 251-nucleotide ribosomal RNA is filed under the name uncultured prokaryote. RNAcentral describes it as "partial 16S rRNA". It matches the Rfam family "Bacterial small subunit ribosomal RNA", at positions 525 to 775 of the family's 1533-position model. The record is from RNAcentral.
ACGGGGGGUGCAAGCGUUGUUCGGAAUCAUUGGGCGUAAAGCGCGCGCAGGCGGCUUGGUAAGUCAGAUGUGAAAUCACUGGGCUUAACCCAGGAAGUGCAUUUGAUGCUGCCUAUAUAGAGUACGGGAGAGGAAAGGGGAAUUCCUGGUGUAGUGGUGAAAUUCGCGGAGAUUGGGAGGAGCAUCGGUGGGGAAGGGAGUAUGCUGGACCUAUACUGAGGCUCAGUCGCGAAGGCGUGGGCAUCAAACAG